Molecule: ribosomal RNA, 662 nt
Filed under: uncultured bacterium
Lineage: Bacteria
Description: bacterial SSU rRNA
Rfam family: Bacterial small subunit ribosomal RNA
Source: RNAcentral
AGUCGAACGAAGCGCCUUUUGAGAUUCUUCGGAUGAUCGAUUGGUGACUGAGUGGCGGACGGGUGAGUAACGCGUGGGUAACCUGCCCUGUACAGGGGGAUAACAGCUGGAAACGGCUGCUAAUACCGCAUAAGCGCACGAGGAGACAUCUCCUUGUGUGAAAAACUCCGGUGGUACAGGAUGGGCCCGCGUCUGAUUAGCUGGUUGGCAGGGUAACGGCCUACCAAGGCAACGAUCAGUAGCCGGUCUGAGAGGAUGAACGGCCACAUUGGAACUGAGACACGGUCCAAACUCCUACGGGAGGCAGCAGUGGGGAAUAUUGCACAAUGGGGGAAACCCUGAUGCAGCAACGCCGCGUGAGUGAAGAAGUAUUUCGGUAUGUAAAGCUCUAUCAGCAGGGAAGAUAAUGACGGUACCUGACUAAGAAGCUCCGGCUAAAUACGUGCCAGCAGCCGCGGUAAUACGUAUGGAGCAAGCGUUAUCCGGAUUUACUGGGUGUAAAGGGUGCGUAGGUGGCAGUGCAAGUCAGAUGUGAAAGGCCGGGGCUCAACCCCGGAGCUGCAUUUGAAACUGCUCGGCUAGAGUACAGGAGAGGCAGGCGGAAUUCCUAGUGUAGCGGUGAAAUGCGUAGAUAUUAGGAGGAACACCAGUGGCGAAGGCGG